UAAGAGAACCACAAGAAGUUCCAAAAAAAAAUGGCGACGAAACUGCAGGUCUUUGAAGAAUGCCACUUCCAAAAAAUAUAGCCAACCCCAGAAAGAAAAAAAAAAAACGAAUGUACAUAGGAAAAUAUAUUCUUUACUUCUUGGUUGAAAUACCUGGGCUGGGCAGCAUUGUGUUUGGUUGGACAUAGAACUUAAUGGGUUCUCAUUUUUUAAUCUCUUGUAUAGUAUUUGAUGAGGAAAUUCUGUUUAGGUGACCAACAUAUUGAAUAGACAUGGGCAUGCCAAAGAACAUUGUUAUUGGCUCGCACGUUUGGGUUGGAGAUCCAGAAUUAGUUUGGAUUGAUGGACAAAUAAUAAAUGUAAAUGGAGAGGAAGCUGAGAUUCAAACUAGUAACGGGAAGACGGUUGUUGCAAAUUUGUCAAAAUUACAUCCCAAAGAUAUGGAAAAUCCUGAAGGUGGAGUUGAUGACAUGAUUAAGCUAGAAAAUUUGCAUGAGCCAGGAGUGCUGCAUAAUUUGGCAACUAGAUUUAAGAUCAAUGAAAUUUAUACUUAUACUGGAAACAUUCUUAUUGCGAUCAAUCCAUUCCAAAGACUCUCACACUUGUAUGAUGCUUCCAUGAUGAAACGUUACAAAGGAGCGCCAUUUGGAGAACUCAGCCCUCAUGUUUUUACAAUUGCUGAUGUUGCGUAUAGGGAAAUGAUUAAUGAGGGGAAAAGCAACUCUAUUCUGGUUAGUGGUGAAAGUGGGGCUGGUAAGACAGAAACCACCAAACUGCUUAUGCGUUACCUUGCCUAUUUAGGUGGCCAUACUGCAGCAGAAGGACGGACUGUUGAACGACAAGUUUUAGAAUCAAACCCUGUUCUGGAAGCAUUUGGCAAUGCAAAAACUGUUAAAAAUAACAAUUCCAGUCGUUUCGGAAAAUUUGUCGAGAUUCAAUUUGAUAAGAAAGGAAGAAUAUCAGGGGCAGCCAUUAGAACUUAUCUUCUAGAAAGAUCUCGUGUUUGCCAAAUUUCAGAUCCUGAGCGCAACUAUCAUUGUUUUUACCUUCUUUGUGCAGCUCCUCCUGAGGAGAAAGAGAGAUACAAGUUGGGAAACCCUAAAUCACUUCACUAUCUUAAUCAAUCAAAUUGCUAUGAACUGGUUGGUGUAAGUGAUGCUCAUGAUUAUCUCACCACUAAGAGAGCCAUGGAUAUUGUUGGAAUAAGUCAAAAAGAGCAGGAUGCAAUUUUCAGAGUUGUGGCAGCAAUUCUUCAUCUUGGCAACAUUGAUUUUGCUAAGGGGGAAGAAAGUGAUUCAUCAAUUUUAAAAGAUGAAGAAUCCAAAUUCCGUCUUAAAAUGACUGCAGAUCUUCUCAUGUGUGAUCCUCAUGCAUUGGAAGAUACAUUGUGUAAGCGUGUAAUGAUUACCCCAGAAGAAAUUAUAAAGAGAAGUCUUGAUCCUCAUGGUGCAGCAGUUAGUCGGGAUGGUUUAGCAAAGACAAUAUAUUCUCGCUUGUUUGAUUGGUUGGUGGAUAAAAUCAAUCUCUCAAUUGGGCAAGAUCCAUCCUCAAAAUGUCUGAUAGGGAUCCUUGACAUUUAUGGUUUUGAAAGCUUUAAAACUAAUAGUUUUGAGCAGUUUUGCAUCAAUUUUACAAAUGAAAAGCUGCAACAACAUUCCAACCAGCAUGUGUUCAAGAUGGAGCAAGAGGAAUACACAAAGGAGGAAAUUGAUUGGAGCUACAUAGAAUUUGUUGAUAAUCAAGAUGUCUUAGAUCUUAUCGAAAAGAAACCAGGUGGCAUCAUUGCUUUGCUGGAUGAAGCUUGUAUGUUUCCAAAGUCAAAUCAUGAAACCUUUUCACAAAAGCUUUACCAGGCAUUCAAAGAUCAUAGACGCUUCAUCAAGCCAAAACUGACGCGCUCAGAUUUUACCAUUGUUCAUUAUGCAGGAGAGGUUCAGUAUCAGUCGGAUCAAUUUUUAGACAAAAACAAAGACUAUGUUGUUGCUGAACAUCAAAAUUUGUUGAGUUCUUCCAGUUGUUCGUUUGUAGCAGGCCUUUUCCCUUCUGUUUCUGAUGAGGGAGCCAAAUCAUCCAAGUUCUCAUCCAUUGGUUCUCGUUUUAAGCUACAGUUGCAACAGUUGAUGGAUACACUAAAUUCCACAGAGCCCCACUACAUUAGAUGUGUGAAGCCAAAUAAUUUUUUAAAACCUGCAAUAUUUGAGAAUAUCAAUGUCUUGCAACAACUACGUUCGGGUGGUGUUCUAGAAGCGGUCAGAAUCAAAUGCGCUGGAUACCCUAUUCACAGGACCUUUGAUGAUUUUCUAAAUCGAUUUGGUAGCCUUGCACCAGAGGUUUUUGAAGGGAACUAUGAAGAAGAGGUAGCAUGCAAAAAGAUUCUGGAGAAGAUGGGGCUUACAGAUUAUCAGAUAGGUAAAACAAAGGUUUUCCUAAGAGCUGGUCAGAUGGCCGAGUUAGAUGCACGGAGAGCAAGCAUACUUGGCAUCUCAGCCAAGGUCAUCCAAAAACAUAUUAGAACCCAUAUUACUCGUAAAAUGUUUGUUAAAAAGCGGAAGGCUUCUAUUCAUAUACAAUCCUUUUGGAGAGGGGAACUGGCUCGCAAAUUAUAUAAGCUCAUGAAAAGAGAGAUAGCUACUGUCAUAAUUCAGAGAGAUUUGCGUAGACACCUGACUAGAAAAGCCUACAUCAGAAUUAAAUUAUCUACAGUGGUCUUGCAGACAGGUUUACGGUCAAUGGUUGCUCGUAUUGAAUUUAGAUACAGAGAGCGCACAAAGGCUGCAAUUGUCAUUCAGGCCAAUUGGCGCUGCCAUAGAGCUUUCUCAGACUAUAAGAAGCUUAAGAAAGCAUCAAUCAUUUUGCAGUUCAGAUGGAAAGUAAGAAUUGCCAACAGAGAACUUAGUAAACAAAAGAUGGAAGCAAUCAAAGCGGCUUCCCCAGUAAUCAGAGAACCCUCACAUUCUGACAUAGAUGCUGAAAAGAUUGAGACUCUCACCAUGGAAGUGGAAAAUUUGAAGGCCUUGCUGUGGGCAGAAAAACAAAGAGCUGAUGAGUGUGAAAGGAAAUAUGCAGAAGCCCAGAUAACAAAUGAAGAAAGACGUAAAAAAUUAGAAGAAACUGAAAGAUUAGUUCAUCAACUUCAGGACUCCUUCAACAGUGUGUCUCAGGAUGACAAAUUCUAUGUCAAAUCAAGUCUCAGAGCUGAAAAUGAUAUUGUCUACAUCAAAUUUGAGUUCAAUUUCUGGAAACUUUACUGGAGAGGAUCAGAUUGAAUUCAUUUCAAGUGACUCAGAUUCAUCAUCAUCUAGCUCUGAUUUCACUUUUCCAGCUCCAGCUCCAGCUCCAACUUCACCAACCUUUCCUUCUGUCAAGCCAAGUCCAUUCCAGCUGAUAAUUCAGGAUAUUUCAGCAGCAGAAUUAUCAGGAUUUGAAAGUGAGAGGGCAUUUGAUGAUUUCUUCUGAUGGAACUUCUUUCUAAUCAAUCUAGCUUAGGUAUUAGUUCCAUAGAAUGUGGACCUUUUGGAAUUCUAGAAUAGGCAUACAAUUUAAAGAAGAUCGUAGAUGGACAUAGAAGUUUCUCUAGGAUGCUUUAGAACCAAUUAGUCAGGUAAUCUUAACAAAAUCAUCUUUGUAAUUGUAGAUUAAUAAUGCUAGUACACUGACAUUCAUUCUAAUUUUACCUCACUCUAACAACGGUCCAAAAGUGCAACAAAAAAAAAAAAGUACAUUAAACACUCAAAGCUAUAGCAUAGUUUAUUCUUUGCUGCUUUUGUUUUUACUUUUUCUUGGUGAUCAAAUAUGAAAUUGUGAGGGGAUCUGCAUGGUGCUCUUCAUCAACUCAAUAGAUCAUUUAUAGAUGUAGAGGCCUCAAAAUCAACUGUAGAGAAACAGCAGGAGAACUAUCACCUUCUAAUCUAUGUACAGCAAAGCAACAAGGCUUCACAAGAGGACAUCGGUCUUAUUGCAAUAUGUGCUACAUUGGAGAUAAACUCAAGCAAUCAUCGUGUACCGGGAAGAUUACGAGUGACACCAAAUUUAUAUGUAAAAUUUUCUAUUCAUUUCUAUUGGGCCCUUUUUUCAAUUUUUUCCAUUUUGGAAGAACUUUUAAAGUUGAUAUUUUUAUUUUUGGUUACUAUACUGUGGAUGAAGGGGAUAUUAACCAUUUUGGGCUUCUUUCAUUAGCUCUGGACA
RNA transcript from Quercus lobata, 4185 nucleotides. It is a transcript of the gene named P-loop containing nucleoside triphosphate hydrolases superfamily protein, with no coding region annotated. The transcript has 26 exons. The record is from RefSeq and is a predicted model, not a curated record. Lineage: Eukaryota; Viridiplantae; Streptophyta; Magnoliopsida; Fagales; Fagaceae.